RNAcentral lists this ribosomal RNA (253 nucleotides) under uncultured bacterium. Its description in RNAcentral is "partial 16S ribosomal RNA". It matches the Rfam family "Bacterial small subunit ribosomal RNA", at positions 524 to 776 of the family's 1533-position model. The record is from RNAcentral.
UACAGAGGGUGCGAGCGUUGUCCGGAAUCACUGGGCGUAAAGGGCGCGUAGGCGGCCUGAUAAGUAGGGGGUGAAAUCCUGUGGCUUAACUGCAGGGCUGCCUCCUAGACUGUUAGGCUCGAGCACGGUAGAGGCAGAUGGAAUUCCCGGUGUAGCGGUGGAAUGCGUAGAGAUCGGGAAGAACACCAGUGGCGAAAGCGGCUCUCUGGUCCAAAACUGACGCUGAGGGGCGAAAGCGUGGGGAGCAAACAGG